RNAcentral lists this ribosomal RNA (395 nucleotides) under uncultured bacterium. RNAcentral describes it as "bacterial SSU rRNA". It matches the Rfam family "Bacterial small subunit ribosomal RNA", at positions 367 to 759 of the family's 1533-position model. The record is from RNAcentral.
UGCAUGGGCGAAGCCUGUCAGCCUUCCGCGUGAGUGAAGAAGGCCUUCGGGUUGUAAAGCUCUUUCGCAAGGGAAGAAACGAUGCAGUCGAAUAAACUGUGUUAAUGACGGUACCUUGAUAAGAAGCACCGGCUAACUACGUGCCAGCAGCCGCGGUAAUACGUAGGGUGCAAGCGUUAAUCGGAAUUACUGGGCGUAAAGCGUGCGCAGGCGGUUUUGUAAGUCAGAUGUGAAAUCCCCGAGCUCAACUUGGGAACUGCGUUUGAAACUACAAGACUAGAAUAUGUCAGAGGGGGGUAGAAUUCCACGUGUAGCAGUGAAAUGCGGAGGGAGGUGGAGGAAUACCAAUGGCGAAGGCAGCCCCCUGGGAUAAUAUUGACGCUCAUGCACGAAAG